Long non-coding RNA from Conger conger (European conger), 2361 nucleotides. RefSeq lists it as uncharacterized. The transcript has 2 exons. Lineage: Eukaryota; Metazoa; Chordata; Actinopteri; Anguilliformes; Congridae. The record is from RefSeq and is a predicted model, not a curated record.
UCUCAUCAAAUUAUGUGGUACAGUAGUUGCGUUGCAAAGUGAAAACAUACAUGCCUGUCUAGGGUAUGGGUUUGGUAUUUUGUGUUCAGUCACAAUACAUUCCUUUGAGUGUAUUCAAGAAUUUAUGGAUCUCCUUCAGCGAGGUUCAUAUUAAAUCUAAAGUGCCAAUAGUUGGAUUGCAGAGCAUGUUUUUCAGAGAACAGGUACAAGUUCUCAAGACUCUGAGGAUGUGCUCAAGCCUGUGGUUGUGCUGAAAAGCAAUGUGGUUCAUAGUUACACCGUAAAGAAGAAUGUAUUCUAGGUGUUACUGUAAGUGUGUCCUAAAUUAAUCUACUAAGAUGUCAUAUUACAUUGUGUGUCACAAUUUACGUCUGCAUUUCUGGGUUCAUAGUGAACAUAUUACAAAGAAAACAGUGUUAAGUCAAAACGUGAACAUGGGGUUUAACACAAGUUUUGUUACAUAAGAAUUCAAUUUGUUUGAUACUUUCAAUUCCACAGCAUUUUGUACGUUAUCUCUAAAGCUAUCAGCCACCUGAAUCAACCAAAAUCCAAGCAGUACCAAUCUGCUGUUUCAUCUUUUGAUUGUAUUGUGAUGCUUUUGUGCUGUGGGUUUCUUAAAUCCAUAAUAUAAAUAGAAAUGUCACUCACAGUGUAGUUAUAUUUAACAAAAGGGGAGAAGAUUAAUUUCAAGCACUUUGGACUCAUUUAAGAUGAUCCACAUGACUGAUAAUGUGUCUUCAUUCCCUUAAUAAUUGUAUUAAUAACUGUUUAAUCUCUCUCUCUCUCUCUCUCUCUCUCUCUCUCUCUCUCUCUCUCUCUCUCUCUCUCUCUCUCUCUCAGAUGUAUAUUUACUUAAGCUGUGUGCAACCUAGAUGGCUGCUCUAAACAUGUUUUUUGCUGAUAACUCGAGAACUAUAUAUCAGAUCGGGUAAAAGAGUAUAUAUUGUCUAUAUAUAUACUCAUGGUUUGCAUUAAAUAUAUGCCUUUAAAUGCAUAUAGCCCAAUUAUUCAAUCUGGACAUGAACAUACUUUCAAGAUGGAUUUCAACUUAAUAGCUCAGCAUAAUUUUUCUGUGUCCCAACAUAUCUACAUAUUGACAAGGCAUAGGUCUCCUGUGGUGAGUCAUGGUCUGCAAUAUAAAAGGGACUUAUAUUGAAAUUGGAAUUCCAGUGCAUGGGGAAGAAAAACAAACCAGGGCAGGGGGAGGGGGGAGCCUCUUUCCCUGACUGCUCAGCAGUCGGAAGUGUGGAAAGCAAAUUCACAGAAUGUUUAAGAACAUCAUGAAAGUAUUAUUCAAGAAUGUUUAGAAAUGCAUACCAACAAUAUGCAUUAUUAUUAUUAGUAUUAUUAUUAUUAUUAUUAUUAUUUAAUCUGAAAAAAGAUUCUAAAUGUUUUGAUGAUAUGCCAUUCUAAUACACUGUAUUGUGUUACUUUAAAUGAAAUUAAAAUGUGUAUUGAAUUACAGAAGUAAUUGUGUGUUUGAACAAGGCUUCAGUACCAAUUGCAAAAGUGUGUGAAUACAUUUGUAGUCUUUGUUUAUGUAUAAAAACUGAUUGCAUAUUUCCAGCAAAUGUUUUAGUGUAUGUGUUUGUGUCAAAAUCAUAUAUGGAUAUUGUCAUAUUUUAUACAGCCUUGGAAACAGGCAAUAGGGCAACACCAUCCAUCUUAAUAGAUAAACAUUUCAAAACUUUCAAAUUGUAUGUUUGCUGUGUUAUUUGUUAUUUGUUGGCUUAGGGCACCUACACAACAUCAGGAUGGGUGUAAAAAAUGGUCUUAUCUGCAAUGAUUAUGAGAUCCACCCUGGUGUAAAGACCAAAAUCUGGAAGCAUGUAUGGAGUACAUAUUUAUACAUGGGAUUUCCAUCUGAUCAUCAGAUGAUUGCUAUGUCAAUAUAGCAUAUUCAUUUUUUGUAGAUACAAAUCAAGUAUUCAUGUUAGCUAGAUAGCUUAAUGGAACUUGCCAGACAACUGGAUAGAUAUUGAUGCAUCAUCACAUUCAACACUGACGUAAAAAAAAUGGUUGGACUUAAAGAGCUGUGUAAAACUGUGCUGUGGUGUCUACUUCCUGAUCUAUAUGCUUUGCUAAUCUAAAACAGAAUAUGCUUUUACAUUGAGCGUACAUUUAAAAAUACAGUAUGAUUUUGUGUAUUGACAACUGCAUAAGCAGUUUCUUGAAAUUAAGUGAGGCCAUUGUAGCUUUAAAUUCAAAUAAUCUUGCCUGCAUAUUUGUUGAUUGUUCUGUGUAAGCUAUUGCAAUGUGGAUACUUUUCUUCAAAAUGUCUCAGUCAAGUAAUUUAUUUCUAUUCUUUGUGUAUCAUUUUUUUUUAAACGUUGAUAUAAAUAAAUGUGAAUUUUGUUCAUC